This 495-nucleotide ribosomal RNA is filed under the name uncultured bacterium. Its description in RNAcentral is "partial 16S ribosomal RNA". It matches the Rfam family "Bacterial small subunit ribosomal RNA", at positions 28 to 507 of the family's 1533-position model. The record is from RNAcentral.
GACGAACGCUGGCGGCGUGCCUAAUACAUGCAAGUCGAACGCUGAAGGAGGAGCUUGCUCUUCUGGAUGAGUUGCGAACGGGUGAGUAACGCGUAGGUAACCUGCCUGGUAGCGGGGGAUAACUCUUGGAAACGAUAGCUAAUACCGCAUAAAAUUGAUUAUUGCAUGAUAGUCAAUUAAAAGGUGCAAUUUCAUCACUACCAGAUGGACCUGCGUUGUAUUAGCAAGUUGGUGAGGUAACGGCUCACCAAGGCAACGAUUCAUAGUCGACCUGAGAGGGUGGUCGGCCAAACUGGGACUGAGACACGGCCCAGACUCCUACGGGAGGCAGCAGUAGGGGAUCUUCGGCAAUGGACGGAAGUCUGACCGAGCAAAGCCGCGUGAGGGAAGAAGGUUUUCGGAUCGGAAAGAUCCGUUGUAAGGGAAGAACGAGUGUGAGAGUGGAAAGUUCACACUGUGACGGUAGCUAAUCAGAAAGGGACGGCUAACUACGUG